RNAcentral lists this ribosomal RNA (468 nucleotides) under uncultured bacterium. Its description in RNAcentral is "bacterial SSU rRNA". It matches the Rfam family "Bacterial small subunit ribosomal RNA", at positions 28 to 507 of the family's 1533-position model. The record is from RNAcentral.
GGUGAACGCUGGCGGCGUGCUUGACACAUGCAAGUCGAACGGUAUGUGGCAACACAUAGAGUGGCGAACGGGUGAGUAACACGUGGGAACGUAUCUUUGCAGGGGAUAACUGACCGAAAGGACAGCUAAUACCGCAUAAGUCCGAGAGGAGAAAGGUGCAAAAGCAUCGGCAGAAGAGCGGCCCGCGGUCCAUCAGCUAGUUGGUGAGGUAAGGGCUUACCAAGGCGACGACGGAUAGCCGGCGUGAGAGCGUGGCCGGCCACAAGGACACUGAGAUACGGGUCCUACUCCUACGGGAGGCAGCAGUGCGGAAUUUUAGAUAAUGGAGGGAACUCUGAUCUAGCGACGCCGCGUGCAGGAAGAAGGUCUUCGGAUUGUAAACUGCUGUGGUAAGGGAAAAAUGCUAUGUAGAGUGGAAAGCUACAUAGAGGGAUGGUACCUUACUAGAAAGCCCCGGCUAACUACGUG